Molecule: ribosomal RNA, 262 nt
Filed under: uncultured bacterium
Lineage: Bacteria
Description: partial small subunit ribosomal RNA
Rfam family: Bacterial small subunit ribosomal RNA
Source: RNAcentral
AGGACAAACGCUGGCGGCGUACCUAAGACAUGCAAGUCGAACGGGCGCCUUGCUUUCGGGCAAGGAUGCGAGUGGCGGAUGGGUGAGUAACGCGUAGGAACCUGUCCUUUUGUGGGGGAUACCAGUGGGAAACCGCUGCUAAUACCGCAUAAGGUCACCAUGGGAGACUGUGGUGAAGAAAGGCGAAAGCCGCAGAAGGAGGGGCCUGCGUCCGAUUAGCUGGUUGGUGGGGUAACGGCCUACCAAGGCAUCGAUCGGUAGC